AGCGGCAACAGCUCAAUUUGAAAUCUGGCCCCCCGGCCCGAGUUGUAAUUUGCAGAGGAUGCUUUUGGUGAGGCACCCACCGAGUCCCCUGGAAUGGGGCGCCAUAGAGGGUGAGAGCCCCGUAUGGUAGGACGCCGAACCUCUGUAAAGCUCCUUCGACGAGUCGAGUAGUUUGGGAAUGCUGCUCUAAAUGGGAGGUAAAUUUCUUCUAAAGCUAAAUACCGGCCAGAGACCGAUAGCGCACAAGUAGAGUGAUCGAAAGAUGAAAAGCACUUUGAAAAGAGGGUUAAAAAGUACGUGAAAUUGUUGAAAGGGAAGCGCUUGUGACCAGACUUGCGCCGGGCGGAUCAUCCAGCGUUCUCGCUGGUGCACUCCGCCCGGUUCAGGCCAGCAUCGGUUUUCGCCGGGGGACAAAGGCUUCGGGAACGUGGCUCCUCUCGGGGAGUGUUAUAGCCCGUUGCGUAAUACCCCGGCGGGGACCGACGACCGCGCUUCGGCAAGGAUGCUGGCGUAAUGGUCAUCAGCGACCCGUCUUGAAACACGGACCGAGGAGUCAAGCAUUAGUGCGAGUGUUUGGGUGUAAAACCCGCACGCGUAAUGAAAGUGAACGUAGGUGAGAGCUUCGGCGCAUCAUCGACCGAUCCUGAUGUUUUCGGAAGGAUUUGAGUAGGAGCAUUAACGCUUGGACCCGAAAGAUGGUGAACUAUACUUGAAUAGGGUGAAGCCA
Molecule: ribosomal RNA, 727 nt
Filed under: Pyricularia pennisetigena
Lineage: Eukaryota; Fungi; Ascomycota; Sordariomycetes; Magnaporthales; Pyriculariaceae
Description: eukaryotic LSU rRNA
Rfam family: Eukaryotic large subunit ribosomal RNA
Source: RNAcentral